Molecule: long non-coding RNA, 1289 nt
Organism: Oncorhynchus nerka (sockeye salmon)
Lineage: Eukaryota; Metazoa; Chordata; Actinopteri; Salmoniformes; Salmonidae
Exons: 2
Source: RefSeq, a predicted model, not a curated record
UGUUGUGUCCAGGGGAAAGGAGAGUACACCAUGGUGUAUAGCAGAUACCAGCCUUGUCUGCCUGGCACUCAGGAGGAGCUCAUCAACAGGACAGCUGCCUGCCAAGAAGGGGAAGUGGAAGAACUGAGGAUGGACAACACACACAAUCAAUGAAUUGACAAUGGCCCAACACACCUCCAGGCAGUUUAAGGGCUAUUUGACCAAGAAGGAGAGUGAUGGUGUGCCGCAUCAGAUGACCUGGCCUCCACAAUCACCCGACCUCAACCCAAUUGAGAUGGUUUGGGAUGAGUUGGACCACAGAGUAAACGAAAAGCAGCCUUCAAGUGCUCAGCAUAUGUGGGAACUCCUUCAAGACUGGUGGAGAAGCAUUCCAGGUGAAGCUGGUUGAGAGAAUGCUUAGUGUGUGCAAAGCUGUCAUCAAAGCAAAGGGUGGCUACUUUAAAGAAUCUGAUAAACAAAUACAUUUAUUUGUUUAACACUUUUUUUGGUUACUACAUGAUUCCAUGUGUUAUUUCAUAGUUUUGUCUUCACUAUUAUUCUACAAUGUAGAAAAUAGUAAAAAUAAAGAAAAACCAUUGAAUGAGUAGGUGUGUCCAUACUUUUGACUGGUAUGUGUGUAUGUAUAAAGAACAUGGGGAAUUUGAAAUGAUGCAGACAAUUACAUAGAUUGUAGCUUUCAUAAAGCUCGUCUACCCCCUUAAAAAAUAACAUUACAGUACUGCAAUGGAAUCCUUGACAGAUGCACACAAACCUACACAGUGCUCAAUCAACUGUAAACAUACUCUGCCUCGCCAAGGGCUCCCGAGUGGCGCAGCGGUCUAAGGCGUCACUACAGACCCUGGUUCGAUUCCAGGCUGUAUCACAACCCGGCCACGAUUGGGAGUCCAAUAGGGCGGCACACAAUUGGCCCAGCGGCAUCCGUUUUAGGGUUUGGCCAUCAUCGUAAAUAAGAAUUUGUUCUUAACUUGCCUAGUUAAAUAAACGUGAUAUUAAAAUAAGGUGGGUUUAUUAUAUCAUAUGUGCAUUCAAAAUGCUACAAAUGAUCAGAGAUGACCAAGUGAAUUCCCUUGAUUCACCCCCUUGCCCCCCCCACACACACUGUUCUAAAGUAUUUAUUAUGACUAUUUCCAUUCAGCCUUUGCUCUCCAGCAAACAGCCUUGUCCCACAGCCUAGCAUUUUUUAUGAAGUUUGGACUUCAACUUGAGCAUGUAUAUUAACUGGUUUUGUACUAUGUACAGCAUAUGUUGUAAUGAUGAUUAAAUAAGAUUGACCUAAUACUACCAUUUCA